This is a long non-coding RNA of Myotis myotis, 2642 nucleotides long. RefSeq lists it as uncharacterized. The record is from RefSeq and is a predicted model, not a curated record. NCBI's taxonomy places the organism in Eukaryota, Metazoa, Chordata, Mammalia, Chiroptera, Vespertilionidae. The transcript has 3 exons.
UCCCGGUGAGAACGAUGGGCGGGCAGCUGGCUUCAAGGAAAACAGGGAGGGAGGGUGGGCUGCUCUCCCCUCAGCGUGUCAGGAAGAUGGUCGGUUUGGGAGGGGCUAGGAAAAGGGACGCGGUGCCGGAUUUGUCUGCUUUGGGUCUUGGGUCCUUGUAAAGGCCACUUACCUGUGGAAAAUUAUGCGAGGCUGUGUGGCAGAGAGAGGGGGAAGGGGAUGAAUAUGAAUAGAAUAGCCACGCUUCAGCCAAAGUACCAGUGCCUUACAUACACGGUGUCACCUCAUCCUCACAGCAAAAUCUUACAGAUCUGGGCAUUUCAGGCCCGGCGCCACCAGCCACGGGUGAAUAUAGAACACGUGAAACGUGGGUAGUCUGAACUGAUAAGUGCUUUCAGUGUGAAAUACCCAGAGGAUCCCAUGGAUUCCAUAAGUUAAAAGAAUGUUAAAUGUUCCAUUACUCAUUUUGUAUAUUAAUUACAUAUCAAAAUAUUUUGGAUAUAUUUUGAAAUUAAUCUCACUAGUUUCUGUUAACUUUUUAAGUAACUUCUAGACUAGCAAUAGCUACUAGAACAUUUUAAAUGACCAGUGUGGUUCACAUUGGAUUCCUAUUGAACAGCACUAUUCUGGAGCAAACUAUCCCGAUGUCAGUGCUCAGGAAGGGGCUGACAGAGCUGAGUAGCCAGAAAGCCAGUAAAUGAAGGCACCUAGACUCCUUCUACAAAGAGAAGGCCCCCGGUGAGUGUUCAAGGUUUGGUUAGGAUGAGGUAUGGCCCAACCUAAUUCUUCUCGAAGAUGAUUUUAACAGUGGGCCAGGUGAGCAGGGACCUGGGACUGCUUUUGUUUCUCAGCACAUCCUGCUUUUCCUCUCUGGGGCCGGUUUCUCCAACUAUAAAAUAUUGAUAAUUAUAGGAGCCCUGAAGCCAGCUUUGUGAGCAGGAAAUGAGCAGCUCUAUAUGAAAGCGGGUCGAGUUUCUGGAGCAAAAAUACCCCAUAAAACCCAAGGUGAUGCAGUCAUAAAUACUAAGCCUAUUUGUCAUGUUACUAGUGAGCAUAUAUCUGAGGUGCGUGGGCAAAACCAUGGCUUUAUCACCCUGCUUUAGGAAGCUGGUCUUUCAGGGUGCCCCCACCACACAGGCAGGCACCUGGGGCCUCCUCUCACAGUGGGUGGGGUUUCCUAGACUCUCCUCCUCUUUCCCCUCCCCACAUGGCUGGGGCCCCACUAGGGCCCAUCCCACAAGUGCUGUUCCCAGGUUCCUAGGGUUGGACCUCCACUUGCUCUCCACCUUUAUCGCCAACUCACAGGUCUUGGGCUCUUCACGGCCAGCUGGAGUCUUCCAGAGCCUCUCCAGAGAAUGGCCUGCUCCAGUAACUUCACUGAUUACACAGUUCCACAAAGCCUUUCUGGAGAUAAUUGCCUCUUGGCCUUUGUUGUUUCAACCAUGGUAUGCCAAAGAAGAGAGAUGAUAAGACCAGGAAGGGAUGCUAUUGGGGAUGUGAGGACUCUAACAGGUGGGCAUCUCUUUGCCUGUGGAAGUGUAGAUCACCCUGUGGAGUGUGCCCACUUGGCUGCAUCCUGAUUGGGUUGUUAAGCAAGUCACCUAACCUCUCAGAGCCUCUCUUACUGGUCUGAAAUUUGGAAAUCGGUUGUAUUAUGUUGUGAAGAUGAGAGACUGUCUGUGAACUGGACCUUUAGUGUACAUGCAGUCAAUAAGUAAGUAGUCAAUAAGUAAGUGACAUUUCUUACAGCAGGGCCUCUGUGGGUUACUGGCAGCCAAUGUUCUUCCCAAGGCUGCCUUCUCCUGCCCCAACCUUCUUACUUGUUUGCCCAUGCCUCCUCCAACACCUGCCCCUGAUGUCAGAGAACUGUGGGAGGCAGUUAGACAGACCUGAGCAGAGCAAGGAUGAUGGGCCAGGUACAGAAGGUCACCAAGGCAGAAAGCUCUGGGUGCCUAGCAACAGGCAAAUUUGGGAAAACAAGGACCUCACCCCCAAGGUAACCUUUCCUCCCCUAGUGUAUCACAUAAUCUCUGUGUUCCAAGUGCCUCAUCUGUCAUGUGGUUUGGACCCCUGACCUUUCAUAUCGCUGGUCAUGAGGUUCAGAUCCUCCCCUGACCUUCCCUCCCCUGGCAUGUCGUUAGUCAUGUGGUAGUCCCCUUCAGAGGAGGAACAAGGGCCGAAGAGUGGCCUCAUUCAACUCCCAUGUAGACCCUUGCUGGACCCCUCCCUUCAGCAUUAACCCCUAGGCCUCAGUUGUGUUUCAGCUCCAGGCCCAGAAAAGUAGCAAAACAAGACAAGUGAUGCAGUAGCUGAGAUCAGGACCAGCUGCAUUGACUAAUGACCCCUGAAAGGACACCCCUGGAAAGCUGAUGAAUAUUCUAUUGGGAUCCAUCCCUGAGACCUCCAGGCCUCUUUCACGCUGAAAUGGAAGCUGCCAAAGCAUUUGGGUGGGGUUACCACCCACACUUCAUGGGGCCAAGCUGCAGGCAGAAAGGGUGCUGGUCAUUCUCACCGAGGCUCCAGAGCUCAAGGUUUACAGAUCAUCAUAUCACAUCAAUUAAUCCACAGUGUUUAGGAAGAAGAAGAUUAACUGAGUCAGUUCCCAUUGAUCACAACAACUUACCAAACACGAAGUUGUCGGG